Small nuclear RNA from Lemur catta (Ring-tailed lemur), 105 nucleotides. Lineage: Eukaryota; Metazoa; Chordata; Mammalia; Primates; Lemuridae. The record is from RefSeq and is a predicted model, not a curated record.
GUUCACUUUGGCAGCACAUAUACCAAAACUGGAGUGAUACAGAGAGGAUUAGGAUGGCCGCUGCACAAGAAUGACAUGAAAAUUCAUGAAGCAUUCUAUAUUUUA